RNAcentral lists this ribosomal RNA (385 nucleotides) under uncultured bacterium. RNAcentral's name for it is "bacterial SSU rRNA". It matches the Rfam family "Bacterial small subunit ribosomal RNA", at positions 376 to 774 of the family's 1533-position model. The record is from RNAcentral.
CGAAAGCCUGACGGAGCAAUACCGCGUGAGGGAUGACUGCCUAUGGGUUGUAAACCUCUUUUUUCAGGGGGGAACACAAUGACGUGUACCUGAAGAAUAAGCAUCGGCUAACUCCGUGCCAGCAGCCGCGGUAAGACGGAGGAUGCAAGUGUUAUCCGGAAUCACUGGGCGUAAAGCGUCUGUAGGUGGUUUAAUAAGUCAACCGUUAAAUCUUGAGGCUUAACCUCAAAAUCGCAGUCGAAACUAUUAGACUAGAGUAUAGUAGGGGUAAAGGGAAUUUACAGUGGAGCGGUGAAAUGCGUAGAUAUUGGAAAGAACACCGAUGGCGAAGGCACUUUACUGGGCUAUUACUGACACUCAGAGACGAAAGCUAGGGUAGCAAAUG